GAAAGCCUGACGGAGCAAUACCGCGUGAGGGAUGAAGGUUCGUGGAUUGUAAACCUCUUUUUUCAGGGAAGAUAAUGACGGUACCUGAAGAAUAAGCAUCGGCUAACUCCGUGCCAGCAGCCGCGGUAAGACGGAGGAUGCAAGCGUUAUCCGGAAUUAUUGGGCGUAAAGCGUACGCAGGUGGCAUAUCAAGUCCUUUGUUAAAGCGCGAGGCUCAACCUCGUAAAGGCAGAGGAAACUGGUAAGCUAGAGUAUGGUAGGGGCAGGAGGAAUUCCCAGUGUAGCGGUGAAAUGCGUAGAUAUUGGGAAGAACACCAGCGGCGAAA
This 326-nucleotide ribosomal RNA is filed under the name uncultured cyanobacterium. RNAcentral's name for it is "bacterial SSU rRNA". It matches the Rfam family "Bacterial small subunit ribosomal RNA", at positions 377 to 720 of the family's 1533-position model. Lineage: Bacteria; Bacillati; Cyanobacteriota. The record is from RNAcentral.